UCAGGACCUACUGUAUACAGUAGGUCCUGGUACUGUGAUCAAGAUCCAAGACUUCAAAAGCUUUUCCUUUCCUAUUAAACUCAUUUACUCACAGUUUUAAUUUUCAUCAGCUUUUACGGCUAUACGAGUAUCCAAACAAUUUAGUUUUUAUUAAUUUUUACGUGCUUCUGAAAUACAUUGAACGUUUUAAGAACCUAGAAAGUUGAGCUGACUGUUUUUACGUUUUCGCCCCCUGCUCAGAGUGCUCGCAUACAUCAUGUCUGCUAAAAGCGGAAAAGUUUUGGUUAGCGUGGUUUACUGCGGUGCGUGAGGGUAUGGAUCCAGGUUCCGUGCAUUCGAAGCGGAACUUCGGAAACGGUACAAGGAUGAAAUUGAAGUGAGAGGCUCCGCGACGCCAACCCGGACCGGCAAAUUCGAAGUCGAAGUGAACGGACGCUUAUGCCAUUCCAAAAUUAACGGCGAUGGGUUUUGCGACUCCACCGACAAACUUCACAAGGUCAUGAAGGCCAUAGAAGAAGCACUGGAAGAUGCCGAUAAUGAAGUGGACACCAAGCAGUCCGGCGACCGUCGAAUUCCGCCUCGCUAAUCCUGCGUUUGAAAUUUUGGAGGUUGCUGUCUCGAUUGACUGGUAAAUAAAAUCAGCGCAAACUGGAGAAGUCCUAUGAAAGUGCUAGGAUAAAGUUUCCUCUUAGCACUGGAUGUUUGCCUUUCCUUUUUGCAUGAUUUUACACGCCAGUCUUUUGGUUCAGCAAUAUUCCGUCAUUAAUUGUCAUCAACUCGAAUACAUUCUGAUGCAGCUAUGCGGUAGUUUAAUACGUUGCUUGCUUGAUUUGAUGAUGCAGUAGCAUUGCAGAAGUGUAUUGUAGUAAUGUUGGCAUCGAGCCAUGGUCGUGAACUUCUCGGUUCAUCUAGUUGCUGAAUUCAUUUAUUUACUGCGGAUUUACAGAUUUCGAUAGCAAUUAACAGCUUUUAGUAUAUUUGUUGACUGCUUCGCUGCGCUAUUUACCAGAAAGUGUUAUUCCUUUGUAUCGUUCAUUGUAUCAAAGUAAAGCACCCAAUACU
This is a long non-coding RNA of Paramacrobiotus metropolitanus, 1062 nucleotides long. RefSeq lists it as uncharacterized. The record is from RefSeq and is a predicted model, not a curated record. The transcript is spliced from 6 exons. Lineage: Eukaryota; Metazoa; Tardigrada; Eutardigrada; Parachela; Macrobiotidae.